GAGCAAUCCUGGUGGCGAGUGGCGAACGGGUGAGUAAUACAUCGGAACGUGCCCAAUCGUGGGGGAUAACGCAGCGAAAGCUGUGCUAAUACCGCAUAAGAUCUACGGAUGAAAGCAGGGGAUCGCAAGACCUUGCGCGAAUGGAGCGGCCGAUGGCAGAUUAGGUAGUUGGUGGGGUAAAGGCUCACCAAGCCUUCGAUCUGUAGCUGGUCUGAGAGGACGACCAGCCACACUGGGACUGAGACACGGCCCAGACUCCUACGGGAGGCAGCAGUGGGGAAUUUUGGACAAUGGGCGAAAGCCUGANNCAGCCAUGCCGCGUGCAGGAUGAAGGCCUUCGGGUUGUAAACUGCUUUUGUACGGAACGAAAAGGCUCUUUCUAAUAAAGAGGGCUCAUGACGGUACCGUAAGAAUAAGCACCGGCUAACUACGUGCCAGCAGCCGCGGUAAUACGUAGGGUGCAAGCGUUAAUCGGAAUUACUGGGCGUAAAGCGUGCGCAGGCGGUUAUGUAAGACAGUUGUGAAAUCCCCGGGCUCAACCUGGGAACUGCAUCUGUGACUGCAUAGCUAGAGUACGGUAGAGGGGGAUGGAAUUCC
Molecule: ribosomal RNA, 597 nt
Filed under: Variovorax sp. M24C7
Lineage: Bacteria; Pseudomonadati; Pseudomonadota; Betaproteobacteria; Burkholderiales; Comamonadaceae
Description: bacterial SSU rRNA
Rfam family: Bacterial small subunit ribosomal RNA
Source: RNAcentral